GACGAACGCUGGCGGCGUGCCUAAUACAUGCAAGUCGAACGCUUUUUCUUUCACCGGAGCUUGCUCCACCGAAAGAAAAAGAGUGGCGAACGGGUGAGUAACACGUGGGUAACCUGCCCAUCAGAAGGGGAUAACACUUGGAAACAGGUGCUAAUACCGUAUAACACUAUUUUCCGCAUGGAAGAAAGUUGAAAGGCGCUUUUGCGUCACUGAUGGAUGGACCCGCGGUGCAUUAGCUAGUUGGUGAGGUAACGGCUCACCAAGGCAACGAUGCAUAGCGGACCUGAGAGGGUGAUCAGCCACACUGGGACUGAGACACGGCCCAGACUCCUACGGGGGGCAGCAGUAGGGAAUCUUCGGCAAUGGACGAAAGUCUGACCGAGCAACGCCGCGUGAGUGAAGAAGGUUUUCGGAUCGUAAAACUCUGUUGUUAGAGAAGAACAAGGAUGAGAGUAAAAUGUUCAUCCCUUGACGGUAUCUAACCAGAAAGCCACGGCUAACUACGUGCCAGCCGCCGCAGUAA
Molecule: ribosomal RNA, 523 nt
Filed under: uncultured bacterium
Lineage: Bacteria
Description: partial 16S ribosomal RNA
Rfam family: Bacterial small subunit ribosomal RNA
Source: RNAcentral